Molecule: long non-coding RNA, 709 nt
Organism: Lemur catta (Ring-tailed lemur)
Lineage: Eukaryota; Metazoa; Chordata; Mammalia; Primates; Lemuridae
Exons: 3
Source: RefSeq, a predicted model, not a curated record
UAGGUAUUGAGUCUGCAGAACAGUCUGAAGCCUCUCUCUGUCGAUUCCUGACUCCUCUCCUUGUAAUCUCUACAGACGAUUCCCUAAGUAAUCCUCUUGCAUUCUUGGCACCGGCUUCGGCUUCGCAGAGCACCCAGACUGACACAGCAGGCACAGCAGGAAGGAUGAGCCGUCCUGACCCAUUUUGGGGUAAUAUCCAGGACGGCACAGACUGCAAUGGUUGGAGGCCAGGAGCUUCUGCAGGGCUACUGUCUCCAUACAGAAAUGAAGAAAUGCUGAGACAAUUUGACAUGCAGGAUGGAAAGGGGCUGGAAGUGGGACAGUAAGACUGAAGGUUUGGGAAGAAAAAUACAAGAUGAGAGCUGUCCAGAAAUGGAACAAGUUUUAUUGUGCAGUAGUGAACUCCCCAUUCAUCCAACUGUGCAAGCAAGAGACCUAGGAGCCUUCCUUUGCACUUUUCUCUCUGUCGUUCCCCCAAUAUUCUUCUAACGCAUACAUUUUUCUCCAUCUCUACCAAUGCCAGCCUCAUCCAGAUAAGGAACCUUAUGCAGACUUACAAGAAAGCCACGUAAACAAUGCAUAUUCUUCCACUUCUAAAUGGGCCACUGGAUCAAAGAGAAAGCAGACAGAAAAUUCACUUUCUGAUGAUUAGAGAUGCAAAUCAAAACCACAAUGAGAUACCACCUAACUCCAGUGAGAAUGGCUUUUA